GUCCUCAACCUCAUCCAGACCCAGAGAGUAUACGGCCAGUGUUCGAGUUUGACUUACAAUUUGACUUUUGAAGACAGCGUUCUGAUAAUUGAACAGCCGUUCUUUCUGAAGGAUGUCUUCUUGAGAAGUGACUGCCUUGACUGUGUGGUGGUCCAUGAAGAGAUCAAGACUAACCAAACCACCGUCACCAGUCUUCUGCUUUUCAGUAAGAGAAGAAAUGUCU
This is a long non-coding RNA of Lampris incognitus (smalleye Pacific opah), 223 nucleotides long. RefSeq lists it as uncharacterized. Lineage: Eukaryota; Metazoa; Chordata; Actinopteri; Lampriformes; Lampridae. The record is from RefSeq and is a predicted model, not a curated record. The transcript has 4 exons.